Molecule: long non-coding RNA, 451 nt
Organism: Cebus imitator (Panamanian white-faced capuchin)
Lineage: Eukaryota; Metazoa; Chordata; Mammalia; Primates; Cebidae
Exons: 2
Source: RefSeq, a predicted model, not a curated record
ACAGAAUUAGAACACAGCGACCUGGAGUUCAUGUCAUGCCCCUAUCCCAGAUUCGUGAUGGAACCUUGAACCUCACCCGCUUAUCUCUGAAGUGUAGAAACUUACAGUCCCUACCUCCAGGGAGAGUUGAGGGUUAAACGUUAUAGUGAUGUACAAGUCUGUAAGCUGUAAGGCAAUGGAAAAAUGGAGGGUUUGUCCUUGGAUGAAGCUCCCACCCUGGACAGCAUGGAGAACCCAGGAGUCAGGCGGGGCUGCUGGCUCACAGGAAUUCAAAUGAGGCGACAACAGAGGAAACAGCGUGAUUAAGGAAUUGUUAUUCAUUCGCUGUACAUCAUUACCACCCAGAAUUCAUCACCAGAUCAUUCACAGAUGGAGUCGCUGAACUAUGAUUAUAUUUUAGAAAAUGAAAGGGGACAAAUCUAAAAAGGCAAUAAAACAAAUUAGAAGCCUU